UGGGGAAUAUUGCACAAUGGGCGAAAGCCUGAUGCAGCAACGCCGCGUGAGGGACGACGGCCUUCGGGUUGUAAACCUCUUUUAGCAAGGAAGAAGCGAAAGUGACGGUACUUGCAGAAAAAGCGCCGGCUAACUACGUGCCAGCAGCCGCGGUAAUACGUAGGGCGCAAGCGUUAUCCGGAAUUAUUGGGCGUAAAGAGCUCGUAGGCGGUUUGUCGCGUCUGCUGUGAAAACCCGAGGCUCAACCUCGGGCCUGCAGUGGGUACGGGCAGACUAGAGUGCGGUAGGGGAGAUUGGAACUCCUGGUGUAGCGGUGGAAUGCGCAGAUAUCAGGAAGAACACCGAUGGCGAAGGCAGAUCUCUGGGCCGUAANNNGCUGAGGAGCGAAAGGGUGGGGAGCAAAACAGGCUUGNAUACCCUGGUAGUCCACCCCGUAAACGUUGGGAACUAGUUGUGGGGUCCAUUCCACGGAUUCCGUGACGCAGCUAACGCAUUAAGUUCCCCGCCUGGGGAGUACGGCCGCAAGGCUAAAACUUGAAAUGAAUUGACGGGGUCAUAGCUGUUUCCU
Molecule: ribosomal RNA, 568 nt
Filed under: uncultured bacterium
Lineage: Bacteria
Description: partial 16S ribosomal RNA
Rfam family: Bacterial small subunit ribosomal RNA
Source: RNAcentral